RNAcentral lists this non-coding RNA (48 nucleotides) under Daubentonia madagascariensis (aye-aye). The record is from RNAcentral. Lineage: Eukaryota; Metazoa; Chordata; Mammalia; Primates; Daubentoniidae.
UAGGAGGAUUGCUUGAGCUCAGGAAUUUUGGGUUGUAGUGCGCUAUGC